This 8005-nucleotide long non-coding RNA is filed under the name Gossypium raimondii (Peruvian cotton). Its description in RNAcentral is "long non-coding RNA (GRAI_LNC010930)". The record is from RNAcentral. Lineage: Eukaryota; Viridiplantae; Streptophyta; Magnoliopsida; Malvales; Malvaceae.
CGAUGGGAAUGAGGGAUUGAAUUUAGAACGUGCAUUAACAGCGCAUAUCAUGCGUACCUCUUCAUCAGGGUCAAGAUUUAUAGCAAGGGUUCGACAACGCCAUAAACAAGCCGUUAUGAAUUCAAACGUGGUACAACGGCGAAGGUGGGGAGGUACGAGGCUACGAAGAAUUGAAACUUCUGCAAAGCCAAAGGAAAAGGAACGUUGAACCGGAUCGUCAAAUGGCAAGAUGGUAAUGGGGGUGGUGACAGGGGCGUCCACUUCAUCAUACUCGCGGUGGGUAAAUGUGAUUCCUGCCGGGUGUUGAGCAUCUAAGAGAUGUCUUUCCCAAACGGGUGAGAUCGAGUGAGUGGCUACGCCUCGUGCCAUUUCACCCAGGGCAAACAGGAAUUGUGCUAGGCCAAUUGCAUCACUCAUGACAUGGUUGAGACGGAGAGCGAAGAUGAAACCACCGCAUUUCAACCGUGUUACCUACUAAGCAAUAAACUAAUUCUUGUUAAUUAACUUCAUAAAAGAAAAUGUUAGGUUAUUAACUAAUAUGAAAAAGUAAAAGUAAUAAAUGGUGAAAGACGAAAAUCCAACUAAAUUUGUGUUGCCAGCCAUUGGAUAAAUAUAAAAAUUAUAUAUGAAUUAUGAUUUAAUUUGUAAUUGUAUGUAUGAAUUUUGAUUUUGUGUAAUAUUAUACAUGAAAUUUUUGUUCGAUCCCUUUCUUGUAAAUUAUGAACACAAUUAUUGAUAUAACAUCAUUUUAUAUUUAUAUAUUUCAUACAUAAGUAAUUAUAUUUAUCUAAUAUAAAAAUAAAUUGCUGUAUUUAUUUCUUUAAAUGUGUAUGAUUAAAUCAAAGUUAAAGCUUCAAGUAUACAUUUGAGCCAUAAUUAGAGUUUCAAGUGUAUAAUUAAACCAAAUUAAAAUUUAUAUAUAUAAUUAUAUAUUAAAUCAAAGUUUAUGUAUAAUUUUUAAAUUCAUACUGUCUCAUUUAUUUAAAAUUUCUUUUUCAUUUACUACAUCCUUAGAGAUCAUGUGUAGAGUUUUAAAAUUCCAAUAUAAAUUUAUCAAAUAAUUUUUGGUUAAAAAAUAGUUUCAAAUUUACCAAAUAUGUAAUUAAUAAAAUAUCUAUUGGCUUAAUUUUAUAAUAUUUAAUAAAAGAAUGAAUAAAUUAAAGUUGAAAUCUCACCAAUUACAAAUAAUUUCUUUUAAAAGAAAAAACAUAUAGCAAGUUAAAUAAAUUUUAUAUUGAUUUAAGAUUUUACUGACUAUUAAAUUUUUAUUUAAUCAAAUCGAUAUGACUUUUAUUCAUCACAUAUACAAGAUAUUUAAAUAUGAUCACUUGUUUAAAAAGAAUGCUUGAUUAUUCUUUUGGAUUUUAUUUUUGCAAUUAUAUAUACAUGGAUAUAUAUACAGGGUUGAUUGAGUUGGUAUCUUUUAUUAACUAUGAAAAAUGAGAAUUAUUUUUUAUAUUUUCAUAUAAAAUCUAGAUAAAUAUAUAGAUGAUGGGAUUGGAACCUAAAAUAUCACGACUUUUAAUAUUUUAAUUUUAUUAUUUCAAUAAAAACCUUAUUUGUCUUUUAUAUAAAUUUUCUAUAUAUUUUUGUAUAAAUAUAUUUAUUAGAUAAUUUUUUUACCUGCAUCAUGAGUGUGUUAGAAUGUAGUAUGUAUAUAUAUAUAUACACUAUUAUUUAAGCAUUUGAUUGAGUUGAUGUAACGAGUCGGUCGAGCACGGACUCAAUUAAGAAGAUUAUAAAAAUAUAUUUUCGUAUUUAAAAUAAAUUAUAAAAAUAUGCAUACGAAGAGACAUGAAUUCACACCAAAUACAUUAAUAAAACAUUCAAUUUACCACUAAACCGAAAUUUUAUUUUAAUUUUUAUACAUAUUUUACUGUACACACCUAAUUAUAUAGGUUAUUAAGUUUUUCUUUUCUUAUACAAGAUAUAUUAUGGCAAAUUAAAGAUAAUUUUUUGUUCCAUCUCUUUUGAUUUAGUCUCUCUCUCUCUUUUCUUUUGCUAUAUUGUUUGUCUCAAAUAUCUAAUUAAAAUUUAGAAAGAAUCAUAAACCCAGAAAAAUGCAACAAUAGAAAUAAGAAGAUUGUUGAAUUAAAAAAGAAAAACUCUCCCAUACAUAUUGUCAUAUAGCAUAAUUAAUUGGAACAUUAUUACCUGAAUCAACAGCAAUGGGCAAUUUAGCAUCCCUUCAGAACCAGGAACAAUAUAAAGGAGCUCAUCGGAGCAAGGGAAUGGUGGGCGAAGUGGUUCACCAAACUGUUCAAGUGUAACAUCAGCAUCGGCUUUUAUAAACAUCACACCCUCACCCGUGCAAUCCACUAUAAGCUUACCAUUGGCCCCUUCUCUUAAUCUACCUGCAAAUGGAUAAUAACACACUAGGGUUUGUGCAAGUGCCUCCCUAAUAACCUCAACUGGAUCUUUUCCUUCCAUGGAAGGUUCAUAUUGAUAAAAGUUGAUUACCCGAAUUUGAAACCGCAAACUCGCUUGAUCAUCAAUGUCCGAUAACAGUUUUUGUUCAUAUGGCGUAGGCUUAGCAGGAGUAACAAGUUCUGGUUCACAACGUCGGACAGUGAACUUAAGGGGAAUGCUGGAAGGUGCUGCCAUGACACAAGGAUGUGAGAUAAUAGAAAAAGAAUAGCAAGUGUUUGGUCUUAAUGAAGUGUUUGAAAUGUUUUAUAUAGGAACCAAAGUGUACAAAUUUGAAGUUUAUUUUCCAUCGCAUAUGUAAAUUUUAAUGGAGGAGAUAAAAUUGAACAAAAGAAUCCCAAUUUUAAUGUAAAUUUAUUUUAUGUAUUAUUAUCUUGUUGGAUUCAUGAUUCCAAUGAUAAAUUUAGUGAACCUCGGCCACAAUUUUAGUGGCUAUUCUGGAAGGGCUUUUUGGACUGUAUUCAGAGCCAUCCUUGUCGUAUUGAGAUGGCCAACGUUUUACAUAAUUAAAAUUGUUGACACCAUUUUUUGAUGGAAAAACGGGGUCGACUUGGGUUUUGAAAAAUUAAAAUGUUAAAUUAAUGUUUGCGAUAUUACCAAAAAUUCCAAGUUUACUAAAUAUUUGGUCUAACUAAGACACAACAUUUUUAAAUCAUUAUAAUAUAAUGGUAAAUUUGCAAUGGAAACCAGGUAAUAGAAAAUUGACUGGUAACAAAAAAUCGAGAAGAAAAACUUCUGGAAAAUUUAAAUGUUUUUUAGGUGUUAAGAAAGGUUAUAUAGUCAAAAAAUUUUAUAACAAAAGAAAAGAAGUUAAAAAAUGAUCAAAAGUCUUGAAAAACAAAAUUUAGAAAUAUGUUAUAAAGAGGAAACAAAUCCUAAAAAAAUAUUAUAUGAAUUAAUAUUCAAUCUAUUCUGGUCACAUUUGGGAUUUAUCAUGGGCUAGCGCAUAUACAAGACAGACUCACAUUUUAACAUGAUUACAUGAAAUUUUUUUUAAAACACCUUUCUGACACACACACACAUAUUUACAUGAAGUUGGAAUUGGCAUUUUUUAAGAAAAGAAAUCGAACUCAACAUUUUGGCCAGAAUAAUUAAGGGUAUCUGUAACACCCUAAUUUAUUAAACCCUAUUUUUAUGAAUAUUAAUAUAAGUAAGUAUUUGCUUUAGUGGUUAAGUACUAUGGGUGUGGAUUGGAGGUAUUGGGUUUAAGUCUCACUUUUGAAAAUUUUGUUUUUUUGUUCCUAGCUUUAUUUUUAAUUGCAGGACUUAUAUUAUAUUUUCAGUCAACUUAUGUUAGAAGGAGCUUGCUGGUUUAGUGGUAAAGUGUUAGUUUAUUUUAUGGUCUUGCAUUCGAAUCCCUGAGUGUGUGUUUGGUAAUAAUUUUCGCUUUGGUGCUGGUGUAGUUUGUGUAGUAGAAGUUGGAUGAGGUUUAGUGGGUCAGAUUCUGUGGGAUUCUAUUGGUAGUGGGCAAUUUCGAAUUUUAAUUAUUUUAUUAUAUUUUUUUGUUAGUUCCCAAAAAUUCUCUCUCUUUUUCACGUCCCUCUCUUUCUCCUUACCAUUCUUUUUCUAACAUCUUUCCUCAUUGUGAUUACAUCCCUUUUUGGCUUCCCUUCUUUGAUUCUUGUCCAUUGUGUUGCCGUUGUGGACAUUGUGCAUUCAGGUUCUUGAUCCGUUUUGAGUAGGUAAGUUAUUGGGUAGGUGUAGCUUUACUGUUUCAUGAUUGGUGAUUAUUGGGAAAUUUUCAUUAUUCUUAUAAUGAAAGGAUAUUUGUUGAUGGUGGUCGUUUAAUUAUUGUUUAGAAGAAAGUCAAGAAGCGAUUGGUGCUCCUCCAGCGAUUUAAGUAUUGGGUGAUUACUGUUCGUUGGCAGUGAGUAUAUUUGAGCGUUGUACUGAUUUGAAAGGCAAAGUUCAUGGUUAAUUUUUUGUUUGAAUUCGUAAAUCGUUUGCUAAAAUAAUUGUUGUGAUACUCGAAAAAUAGAAAUCGGUGAAAGCCGAAAUUGGGGCUUGUCAACGCCACACGGCCGUGCCUGGCUGUGUGACAGGCCGUGUGUGACACACGGGCAUGUGACAAGCCGUGUGCGACACACGGGCGUUUGAUAGGCCGUGUGCGACACACGGGCGUUUGAUAGGCCGUGUGCGAGGCCGUGUGUGACACACGGGCUAGGCCAUUUUGGGUCGUGUGGGCUACACGGGAGUGUGUGGGCUAUGUGCCAGGGCGUAUGGGCACAAAUUUUAGAAUUUUUCCCUACGGUUGUACAUGUUGUCUCGAUCGACUGGGGGUUUUCCGUAGGGUCUAUAUGUGUGGGCUAUCCAAAAUGACAUGAUUCUACUUGAUGCAUAAUUAAGAUAUCAUAUGAAUUAUUUAUAUGUUAAACUCACCUUGUUGAUGUUGUAUUUUGCCAUGACUAGCUAACUUUGUUAAAUUGUGGUAGCAUAUUGUAUUUGAUUGAAUGAUAUGGUAAGUUUUGUUUAAUGUCGAUAAACUUACUACACAUCGUAUAUGCUUACCUUAUUUGUUCUCCCUUCCCUUGUAGGUCAUCACCCUGCGGAACGCGUUAACAUGGAACAACUCGAAGCUCACACUAUCUUUAUUUCAGUAGCUAUUUUGAUUAUCUUGAGUCAAGGAAUUGUGUCAUGUAUAUAAGUGUUUAGUAUAUUCCUUUAAGUAUAAGAUGUUUUGAUGAUUUGAUAUCUUGGUUCAUAUAUGGAAAUGAAUACAUAUGCAUCCCAUGCUUAGUGAUGUAAUAGCUAAUAACCAUCUAAAUGGCAUAUGAAAAAGUAUUGAACUUGUUUUGUGGUGACUUGAAUGUUGGUCUUGGUAUGAAAAUCUGAAAUGUAUGAAAUGAAAAUAAUUGAUGUCUAGUUGAAUGAAUGCUUUGUAAUAGUUGAACUCAUUUUGAAUUGGCCUUGUUUUGAAUUGGUAAAUGACAUGUUUUGGCAGGAAAUGUUAUGUAUUUGGCAUGUUUUAAGUGAUCAAAUUGAAUGGUUAUUUGAUGGGUUUAGAUGGGAGCUUUGAAAUAGGUACCAAAUGGUUUAUUUUUACCAAAAAUUGAGUCCUUGUCUCGGCGAGCAACCUUCCUUAUCGUAAUGUUGAUAGAGAGUAAGUGACGUCACGACGUGACAUAUUGUAUUGGCAACAUCCUGACGUGGAAUGACAGCAUCAUGACUUGGGUUUUAAACUAUUAAAACUUUGUAAUUUGGUCCUAUUUCGAUCUUGGGUUAACAAAUGAGCUUUUGUAGUAUCGAUUAAGACCUAGUUUUGAUUGUUCGACCAUAAAUGAGUGUGUUUAUCAUUGAAUUGCAUGUUUAUAUGAAUGUUUUGUUGUAAAAUGAUUGUAUUUGCUCUAGCAAUGAAUAUAACAUCCUAUAGCUCGAACCCAACGAUUAGGUUGGGAGAAGGGUGUUAUAGACAUAAACUUGACAACGCAAAGCCCAUUGCCUCACCAAGAAAGAAACACGCGUUGCCUAAAUAUCUUGUAGCACCAAGUGGGCCCGCACAAUCCAUAAAAGACAUAUUGGAAGGGGUUCUUAACGACAUCCAUCAACCCAUCACAUUUGAGUUUUGGUAAACGCCUUGUCUAGUCCCUUCAAGUCAAACUCCAACAGUGCCCUAGGCUAACAUUAGGCGCCUUACCACAACAUCCAUGGAGUAAAGAACUCAAUGGUUAGGACCCAUGCCCAACAUCCCUAUAUGGUACCCCUUUUAACACCAAGGUAAGUAGGAAACCAACCAUAUAAUAUAUACUAUGCAUGAACUUAACUCUAAAGUUCUCUCAAACCACCAAUCCUAGUAGCUUUGCGAACCAUUCAUGAUGCGGAUGCUCCCACUCUAGCGGCUUUCCACACCACUCGAGGUGUGAAAUGCCAUUGCAUCAUUCGAUACUUUGUAUAACAUUCAAGAGUCUUUGGUGACUAGUGAAAUAUAUAAAGAAAAAGCUUAUUUUUACAUACGUGUUACAAUAGUUUGACCUAAAAUAAAGAGUAGUUAAUAUAAAUUUAAGCUUGAAAAUAGAAAGAUGAGUAAAAGCUUUUGUAAAAAAUAAAGCCUCUUUAAAAUAAGCAAAUAUUUUUCUUUCUCUUUACUAAAAACAAGUCAUAGGGAAGGCUGAAUAAUACUAAUUAAAUUAGUUUAUUGCUAACUUAUAUAUUAAAACAUGUGUAAAAAAAUAAUACUUCUACUAAACGUAGCAUAAGUGUUAUAACAAGUACAAUGUUUAGUUGAUUGCUUUUAUGAAGCUAAUGUACUUGACAUUCAUAGAAAGUGUGUAAUGAAUCAACAGAUUUAAUUUAUAUUUGAUAGAUAGAUAGUGAAUAAGUUGAGCACAUUCUAUGCUUUCGGUCUCUUGCAAAACGUUUUCGCUCUUCUUAAUGCUAUUUAUCUCUUUAGGGUAUUCCAUGUUUGGUCAAAUCUUUAACGAUAGACUUCCAUGAUUCUUUCAUUGCAGAAUUUCGUUUUUAUUUAUUUGUUACUAACAAAUUUUUUAAAGCUUUUUUUUUCAUUAAUUAAGAUAUAAAAUAUAUUUAUAUAUUAUUAAAAUAAAAAACUAAUUAAAAUUAAAUAAAAAUUGAAUUUGAAUAAUUAUUAUUUGUAAUUUCUGUGUAACGUAUCCUCCAUUAAUGCUUCUCGACUUGGAAGGUAAUUUUUAACUUCUAAAUCAAAUCAAAUUUAUUUCAUUAUUACUUGGGAGCAAAUUUCACAAAAAUCGAAUUGAAUUCAACUAAAUGCUGCAAUUGACUUAAAUUUGAUUUCCCUUUAUUUUCUCAUCCCUACUUGUCUUACCACUCACCCUUACACUAAUACAUACGCACUAUCAUAUCUUUCACAAAGCAGAAGAAAUUGAAUUUGAUUUACUCUUUUUACCCUCACUUGGCUGCUGCUUCAACAUGUUCUCCAAUUCCUUAGCAAACCUUUCCAUCGCUGGAGCUGGCAAACAAAUUGAUGCCACACGUCCAACUUCUCCUUUCUUAUUCUUGGUUGGCAUUAGAAAGCUUAUCACCCCAACCGCUAUCAUUGGCCCUCCAAACACAGCCUUACCCCAUCCGAAAUCUGUAUCUUCAAUUUCGACCUUUGUUAAAUCUGAUAUAAUGUACGUACCGAUAACAUUCGGGAAAUGGAUUCGUUUACCCCGAACCACCAUUAAAGCUGCCACGGAUUUCACAUAUUCCUCUGUCACACUUGCUUUUGCUUGUUUUAUUAAUUCCACUGCAUACCCUAAUGGUUUCUCACGGAGGCUUUUAACUGUUGUUAUUGCUGCCGGGAAGAUAAACACAUUCCCGUAAUAUCCCGAUGGGAAUGAGGGAUUGAAUUUAGAACGUGCAUUAACAAUGCAUAUCAUGCGUACCUCUUCAUCAGGGUCAAGAUUUAUAGCAAGGGUUCGACAACGCCAUAAACAAGCCGUUAUUAGCUCAAACGUGGUACAACGGCGAAGGUGGGGAGGUAGGAGGCUACGAAGAAGUGAAACUUCUGCAAAGCCAAAGGAAAAGGAACGUUGAACCGGAUUGUCAAAUGGCAAGAUGGUAAUGGGGGUGGUGACAGGGGCUUCCACUUCAUCAUACUCGCGGUGGGUAAAUGUGAUUC